Molecule: ribosomal RNA, 494 nt
Filed under: uncultured bacterium
Lineage: Bacteria
Description: bacterial SSU rRNA
Rfam family: Bacterial small subunit ribosomal RNA
Source: RNAcentral
AUUGAACGCUGGCGGCAUGCUUUACACAUGCAAGUCGAACGGUAACAGGGACUUCGGUCUGCUGACGAGUGGCGAACGGGUGAGUAACAUAUCGGAACGUGCCCAGUAAUGGGGGAUAGCUCGGCGAAAGCCGGAUUAAUACCGCAUACGCCCUGAGGGGGAAAGUGGGGGAUCUUCGGACCUCACGUUAUUGGAGCGGCCGAUAUCAGAUUAGCUAGUUGGUGGGGUAAAGGCCUACCAAGGCGACGAUCUGUAGCUGGUCUGAGAGGAUGAUCAGCCACACUGGGACUGAGACACGGCCCAGACUCCUACGGGAGGCAGCAGUGGGGAAUAUUGGACAAUGGGGGGAACCCUGAUCCAGCCAUGCCGCGUGAGGGAAGAAGGUCCUCUGGAUUGUAAACCUCUUUUGGCAGGAAACAAACCUGCGCUAUACGCGCAGCUGAGGGUACCUGCAGAAUAAGCACCGGCUAACUCCGUGCCAGCAGCCGCGGUAA